This 763-nucleotide long non-coding RNA is filed under the name Homo sapiens (human). Its description in RNAcentral is "non-protein coding lnc-B3GNT10-5:1". The record is from RNAcentral. Lineage: Eukaryota; Metazoa; Chordata; Mammalia; Primates; Hominidae.
CCACGUUACUGUGCUGAAUACUGUAGGCAAUUAUGACAAAAUGGUGUUGCCAAUGUGAAGGCAUUAAGAAGUGGAGCCUUUAAGAGGAAACGGGAGCAGCCUCCACUGCUUACCUGUUCAAACCACCUUAAUUUGUGGCCUCUGGGGUGGAAGAUGCUUGGAAGCAGUGUGUUCUACAGUGAAGAUCCUGUGUGAAACCGGUCAAUGGAACUGAAGGGAGACAUACUCUUUAAAAAAAGAUAAAGAAGAAACCAUUUAUAAGGAAAGAAACAUUGAAGGGCAGAAAGUAAUGAGUCACCAUUGCAAGUUGGCACAAAAAGAAAAAUUAGUUCAUAAAAAUGCAGUUGGAUAAAUAAUAGGUUAUUUCAUCAUGUAAAUAUAUCCCAAAAUAACUUUAUUGAAAUGAAAAUAUCUAUCGCAGCCUAAACUAUUCAUCACACUAACGUAUAUCUAGAAUCCUAACAAAUUUAUGAAAAUGUUAUAUUCCAUAAUCUUCCUGAUCCAAUGCAAAUAAAUAGAUGUGCUUCAACUGUCUUGUUAUGAAAUGAUUAAUCACUGCUGCCAAAAGCAGCCAAGAAGCUAAUUUUGAUUUCUCACGUUGUGGGUGGCAUUUGAGGGAAUCCGUGAGGACUUUUCUCUGAGUAUUGGACCUUGUAGAAUGAAGAUCUCAUUCCUCUGUCUUCCCCAAUCUGGGCCAACCUGGGAAAGGAUCAUCAUUAUCUCUUUUAAGCUGGGUAAAGCUUUUCCCAGAUAAAGAAAUUCC